Long non-coding RNA from Aphis gossypii (cotton aphid), 812 nucleotides. RefSeq lists it as uncharacterized. The record is from RefSeq and is a predicted model, not a curated record. Lineage: Eukaryota; Metazoa; Arthropoda; Insecta; Hemiptera; Aphididae. The transcript has 4 exons.
UGGUGUCCUCUUAAUAUUAUUAUAUAUAUAAUAAUUAAAUAAUGUUUUUUAACUCGUUUAAUAAAACUAGAAAUACAUUAUAUUGAACCAAAAGAAUUGUGAAUCGAUACUUAAUAGUCGCUAAAAUUACGCCACUAGCAGCGAAUUUGCUUCGCGGCGACGACAUCUCGAUCAGCGGUCGACAAACCGACAAGUCCGUUCCGACCGAUCCGACGACACACUUCAACACUUGGUCCGGUGCUGUUCCCCCCGCGGGCAGUCUUCGGGUCUGUCGCGAUGGUAGCACGACAACCGUGCAUGGUUAGGUUUCCAAGGAGUCCGCAAAGACGUUGCACUGUUGUACAGUCUUGUGAACCGAACAACAUCUCCGCGAUCGGUGGCGCGCGAGUCGACUUUCGUCAAUCUGGGUGUUCACGCGACCGUCGUCGGUAGCGCCAUCUGUACGACGUUACGACCAGUAUCACCGUUGCCACCGCCGUCGCACGCAGAUGUCGUUCGCACAUUCGCCGAGAAGUAUCAGCGGGACAGGGACAGUAGUAGGACAUAGAAAAGGUGUCGGACCACAGAAAUUAUGUUAGAUUCACACUUUCACUCAUUUAAAAAAUAAGGAACGAAAAUUACGCACGUUUGCAGGUCCUUUAACACGUUGAGCAUAGCCCGUGUCGCCGCGCCGAAAGUACGUCCGGUCGACUAUGUGCAUCGUUAUUAGACUUAAAUUCGGCAACGACGGGUAAUUCAGCUAUCUAUAAUAAUUUGAUGUGGUUUUCGCUCUAAAUUCUUAUCAAUAAAACAAUGAAACUAUUGUUGUCCAA